UGGGGAAUUUUGCACAAUGGGGGAAACCCUGAUCCAGCGACGCCGCGUGAUUUAGAAGGCCUUCGGGUUGUAAAAAUCUUUUCUAUGGGAAGAAAAUGACAGUACCAUAGGAAUAAGGACCGGCUAAUUACGUGCCAGCAGCCGCGGUAAUACGUAAGGUCCGAGCGUUGUCCGGAAUCAUUGGGCGUAAAGGGUACGUAGGCGGGUAAGCAAGUUAGAAGUGAAAUCCUAUAGCUCAACUAUAGUAAGCUUUUAAAACUGCUCAUCUUGAGGUAUGGAAGGGAAAGUGGAAUUCCUAGUGUAGCGGUGAAAUGCGCAGAUAUUAGGAGGAAUACCGGUGGCGAAGGCGACUUUCUGGCCAUAACCUGACGCUGAGGUACGAAAGCGUGGGUAGCAAACAGG
Molecule: ribosomal RNA, 402 nt
Filed under: bacterium
Lineage: Bacteria
Description: partial 16S ribosomal RNA
Rfam family: Bacterial small subunit ribosomal RNA
Source: RNAcentral